Molecule: ribosomal RNA, 433 nt
Filed under: uncultured bacterium
Lineage: Bacteria
Description: partial 16S ribosomal RNA
Rfam family: Bacterial small subunit ribosomal RNA
Source: RNAcentral
AACGAACGCUGGCGGCAUGCCUAACACAUGCAAGUCGAACGAGACCUUCGGGUCUAGUGGCGCACGGGUGCGUAACGCGUGGGAACCUGCCCUUAGGUUCGGAAUAACUCCCCGAAAGGGGUGCUAAUACCGGAUAAUGUCUUCGGACCAAAGAUUUAUCGCCUUUGGAUGGGCCCGCGUUGGAUUAGCUAGUUGGUAGGGUAAAAGCCUACCAAGGCGACGAUCCAUAGCUCGUCUGAGAGGAUGAUCAGCCACACUGGGACUGAGACACGGCCCAGACUCCUACGGGAGGCAGCAGUGGGGAAUAUUGGACAAUGGGCGAAAGCCUGAUCCAGCAAUGCCGCGUGAGUGAUGAAGGCCUUAGGGUUGUAAAGCUCUUUUACCCGGGAUGAUAAUGACAGUACCGGGAGAAUAAGCGCCGGCUAACUCCGUG